Molecule: long non-coding RNA, 216 nt
Filed under: Elaeis guineensis (African oil palm)
Lineage: Eukaryota; Viridiplantae; Streptophyta; Magnoliopsida; Arecales; Arecaceae
Description: long non-coding RNA (EGUI_LNC000851)
Source: RNAcentral
UAUCACGGUAGAAACCCCAACCAACCGAAUCCACAUGCAUGCUCAUCUCAAAGCUUCUUGUUCAUGUAACUCCUAUCCAACACAUUAUAUAUGCAGCUUUGUACUUGACUUGAGCUAAGACCUUCCUUUUAUUCUAUACUCUACGGGCUUCCUUCUUAGUUUAACUUCUCGAUUCCUCGAGUUAGUUCUGUUGCAGUCAAUCUCCUGUUGCGCCUG